This is a long non-coding RNA of Lathyrus oleraceus (garden pea), 782 nucleotides long. RefSeq lists it as uncharacterized. The record is from RefSeq and is a predicted model, not a curated record. The transcript is spliced from 2 exons. NCBI's taxonomy places the organism in Eukaryota, Viridiplantae, Streptophyta, Magnoliopsida, Fabales, Fabaceae.
UUUAUUAUAAAGAAUACACUACAAUAAAAGUCGGUUCAUCGUGAUCCUUAUUUACGAAGGUAGCUCUCUCUUUUGUUUCAACAAAUGGUCAACAGAAUGAUUUGAUUGACAGUUGAAAUGACAGAGUUUAUUUGCAUUUGUACUGAUAGAAGCCAUUUGAAAGAGAAAUAUCAUAUAGUAGUAAUUGGCAGGUUUCUUUGAUUCGUAGGUUUGAAUGGUAGCUAACCAUAUAGUAAUUGGUAAAACAUGCAAUUUCAUUCCGUCUCUGUUACAGCCUCUAUAUAUAAUUUUCUAACUUUCUACUUUCACCAAAUCAUCAAACUCACACACCCUUUGAUUGGCUUGGCCUCUUCAUUCAUUCUGCUAAAAGCUCUUUGUAACCAUGGGACCUGGCGGACCAGGAGGGCCUGGUGGAGGACCCGGGGGGCCUGGCCCGGGAGGACCUGGUUGGGGUCCACCUGGACCUGGAGGCUUCUUUGGUGGAUGUGCUAACGGUUUAUGCAGCCUCAUAUCUUCAUGCUUCUACUGCUUAUGCUGUUGCUGGUUGGUGCGAGAUUGCUUCGGCGGUCCACCACCACGAGGCCCUUUCUAGUACCAAGAUUGAUUAUUAUUAUAAUAAUUAUAGUAUAGUAUUUUUCAAGUUUAUUGUCUGCACUGAAUUACUACUACAAUAUGGAUUAGUAAAGUUGAACAUACAUGCUGCCUAAUUAUCCAUGUCCCCUGAUUGAUUUGGAUGUUGUGUUAUGACCAAAAAUAAAUUUAAUAAAUUGGUGGUUGUGUUA